UGGGGAAUUUUACGCAAUGGGGGAAACCCUGACGUAGCGACACCGCGUGAACGAAGAAGCCUUUUGGGGUGUAAAGUUCUGUCAGCAGGAACGAAAUAAAUGACGGUACCUGCAGAGGAAGCAUCGGCUAACUACGUGCCAGCAGCCGCGGUAAGACGUAGGAUGCGAGCGUUGUCCGGAUUCAUUGGGCGUAAAGAGUUCGUAGGCGGUUUAUUAAGUCUGGUGUUAAAGACUGGGGCUCAACCCUGGGACAGCACUGGAUACUGGUAGGCUGGAGUGUGGUAGAGGCAAGCGGAAUUCCUGGUGUAGCGGUGAAAUGCGUAGAUAUCAGGAAGAACACCGGUGGCGUAAGCGGCUUGCUGGGCCAUAACUGACGCUGAGGAACGAAAGCUAGGGUAGCGAAUGGGAUUAGAUACCCGCGUAGUCC
This 427-nucleotide ribosomal RNA is filed under the name uncultured bacterium. RNAcentral describes it as "bacterial SSU rRNA". It matches the Rfam family "Bacterial small subunit ribosomal RNA", at positions 355 to 796 of the family's 1533-position model. The record is from RNAcentral.